This 327-nucleotide unclassified non-coding RNA is filed under the name soil metagenome. RNAcentral describes it as "partial contains 5.8S ribosomal RNA, internal transcribed spacer 2, and large subunit ribosomal RNA". The stretch from base 1 to 120 matches the Rfam family "5.8S ribosomal RNA", at positions 35 to 154 of the family's 154-position model. The record is from RNAcentral.
GAUGAAGAACGUAGCGAAAUGCGAAAAGUAGUGUGAAUUGCAGAAUUCAGUGAAUCAUCGAAUCUUUGAACGCACAUUGCGCCCCUUGGUAUUCCGAGGGGCAUGCCUGUUCGAGCGUCAUUUUGACCACUCCCGCUUGCGGGGUCUUGGGCCUUCGCCUCUGGGCGGGCCUUAAAAUCAGUGGCGGUGCCGUCCGGCUCUAAGCGUAGUAAAUCUCCUCGCUAUAGGGUUCCGGAGGGAUGCUGGCCAACAACCCCCAACUUUUAAGGUUGACCUCGGAUCAGGUAGGGAUACCCGCUGAACUUAAGCAUAUCAAUAAGCGGAGGA